CUAUUGGAAAUCAUCCUUCUCUGCUUUCUUUCAUUUAUUAUACUUAGUUGUUGAUCAUCUGCUUCAUCUGAAGUUGAAUUGCAGCUGAAAGAUGCCAUCUGCGGGUUGAAGUCUUGAAUCUGGGGAUUGAUCUGAAGGUGGCACAAAGGGUUUGAAAUUCUGCUAAGGUUGAAAGAAGGCAUGUUAUUGUUGUUCAAGCCAAAAUGAGAAGGGUAUUGAGUUGGAUUUGAAGUUCUGGACCUGAUCAUAUAAUAUUGGUGUUGGAAGGCGAAGGCAAACAUCCAGGAGAGGGGUUUUAUAGGAUGGUAAAAAUGUUGCGGUCCCAUUUCUUAAACAGUGAAGUUUCUUAAAGACAAGACUACUCGAAUAUGAUGCUGAAUGCGUGCAUAAGUUGUGUUGUAUUACAUUUCUGCAUUGAUACCAAAACUUACGGAUAUAUGUAUACAUCUAACCUUUACUUCUGUCCAAUAUGGUCAUUUGGGACUUACGAAUUGUAUCUGAUCUGAUGUAUGCAGGUCCAAAAGAUAUUGGAAAUUUAAGUGUUGUGGAUAAUUGGUGACAUCAAACAAUGCUCACAUCACAUACACAUGCGUGCACACAGAAUAUCAUGGAGAGUAUCAUUAUUCAAAAGCUAGAAAGUUUUUGGAAGAGAAAAAAGCAAUUGAAUAAUACGGAUGAAGAAGUCAAUUUAAAAUUGCUAGUUGUUGCAAAGCAAGCUAACUUGACAUCUUUAUUACUCUGCAGUGGUUCUUGCCCAACAAGGUGCAGUGACGUAAAGAUAUAGGAGAACGAGGCCAUGGGAGGAAAGAGGUAAGGGAAGGAAAGUCCUUUCUAUAAGUGGGACAAGUCCUUUCUAUAAGUGGAACAAAUAAAAAAUUAAUGACUCAACAACCACUUUCAUGUGAUCCAUUUUGGAAAAAAUAACACAAUUUGUUUCUUUUAUUUCAAAGUUAUAUUUGAUUAUCUCAAAUCACGGACCAUAGUUAUAAUGGCACUUUGAUGGAAGGAUUCUAGUUGGAGGGAUUCUUUUAAUCUGAUCUAAUGUGGGGAAAAAAAAAAAAAAUUCAUACAGGCAGUUGCUUGUUUCUCCACAAAAUUCUCUGGCAUUUUAGUUUAAUUACUUGUAAAGGCUUGAUCAAAGUUGAAUUGUCCAGUACGCUGUCUUGUCAAAUAAUAUAUAGAUAUGCGUAAGUUGCAAUGGAAUUAAAAGGACAAAACUCAAGUAAGAACUAUUACAGUAGUUUUGUCUGAGGAAACUAACUUAGUGGAUUGGCGAUUUCUCAUAUAACUGGUACUUCAUAACUGGAAUGCAGUGGAAGGCUAAACUAGAAUGGCUUUGUCUCCUGAAAUAUGUUACGGGAGAAAGUAAAUAGUAAAAGUUUUUAAAGUCCUGAGGUUUGCCAGUCAAAAAAGUUUUUGGACAUGUACUAACUGGGGAAUCCAAAUCUUCUAAGCUUUUGCAGUAGGAAAGAAAGGUUUAAAGAUUAUAGGGGUGUUGUGGCUGAUGAUCCCAUUGCUUUCCCAAAAAGAAAAUAAAAGCAUAACUAAGAAUGUCCUGCAUUGCUGGUUUUGUCUGCUGAAAUAUGUUACAGGGGAAUUCAGAAAGUAAAGAGUAAAAGUUUAUCAAGUCCUGAGGUGUGCCGUGGCAGUCAAAAAGUUUUUGGACAUGUACUAACUGGGGAAUCCAAAUCUUCUAAGCUUUUGCAGUGGGGAAGAAAGCUUAAAAGAUUAUAGGGGUAUUAUGGUGGUUGAUCCCAUAGCUUUACCAAACAGAAAAUAAAAACAUAAGAAAGAAUAUCCUGCAUUGCACCAUAUCAUAUUUGGGACUCAAAACUCGCUCUUCUCCUCCUCCUUGUUGUUUCUUUAUAUGUAUACAUAUAUAUAUAAUCAUCUGUUCCUUGGGUUUUUGUUGAUUUAGAUAAGUUGAUACUGAAUGUUGGCCACACAAGUUAUAAAGUUCUAUGGUAUGUAUAAAUUCGCGUUACAAUUAAUGUUGGUGGGAGGAUGAUAAGGGGAAAGAUAUGAAUGUACUUUGAAAUGUAGUCUUCCACUAAUAAAAGGAACUUUGUAUGCAUCCAGAGCCAAAAGCCUAUGGAGGCAAAUGCUCUCUCCCUACUUCAUGUAUGUUGGCCAAGUUGAGUGGGCUGAACGGUCAAAAAAUUCAUGAGACAGAUAUUGACUCAUA
Molecule: non-coding RNA, 2185 nt
Organism: Coffea arabica (coffee)
Lineage: Eukaryota; Viridiplantae; Streptophyta; Magnoliopsida; Gentianales; Rubiaceae
Source: RefSeq, a predicted model, not a curated record